GAAAAUGAGUCCACGGGAGCACUGCAACGACCGCAGAAUUUUUGCAAGAACAAUUCAUUUUAGGAUGAACUAUCGAUACAAAUAUUUUAAUUUGAUUGAAGGCAAUGGCGUGCACCACGAAAGGAGAUUUGGUCAUAUUGAUAGGGUAUCCAUCCAAACAUGUUGGGUGUUAAAAGUUUCAACGUAUAGUCCGAAGCAACCCUUUCCACAGUAGUCACCAUGACAGGUGACCACCUGGUGGCGCCCGUGUGCCAAGGGCCGUUGGACGAUCAGGAGAAGAAGAUUUGAAUUGACGGAUGUGACGUCAGGUCUUUAGGUAAAUUGAAGACAGGUGUGCUCAAGGGGAGUUAUCAAAUGCAUGUGCCACCGAGCGCGUGGCGGCGGGCGGUUUCUCAGGAUUUUCACGCUCAGUUCUCAAAUGCAGGUGCCACCGAGUGCGUGGCAUUUUCUCAGGAUUUUCACACUCGCCACGGCGACUGCAGUCGUCGAAGUUACCUGGAGGCUGCAGGGAGAGUUUUCAAAUACGCCCCAAAAUGUGUGGUUUGUUGCCUUUUCUCACAAGCCUUUUUUAUUUUGUUUGUUUGUUGCAGGACUGUCGUACUCUCGUGACUCGGACACGCAACAAACAUUUGCGUGGGUUAUUUUCUCCCGUUUUGGACGCCGCUAACCUGGAUCAUCUGUCCAAUGUGAGCACUAAAAAAGGCCGCCCAGCCAGCAUCCUUGUAUACUAAGCAAGCAGGAGGCUCUUGAGGAGCCAUUUCGGUGAUGUUGAGGACACUGAGGAAGAGUAGUCCUAAAUCAGGCUGCAAGAGAAGCCGAAUGGGAUGAGGAUAAGUAUCAUUCCAUAUCCAAAGGAGCAAUGGCCUAUCCAAAGGGGCAAUGCCAUUUCAAAAGGGGCAAUGCCAUUUCAAAAGGGGCAAUGCCAUUUCAAAAGGGGCAAUGCCAUUUCAAAAGGGGCAAUGCCAUUUCAAAAGGGGCAAUGCCAUUUCAAAAGGGGCAAUGCCAUUUCAAAAGGGGCAAUGCCAUUUCAAAAGGGGCAAUGCCAUUUCAAAAGGAGCAAUGCCAUUUCAAAAGGAGCAAUGGCCUAAAAAAAGCAAUGGCCUAAAAGGAGCAAUGCCAUAUCCAAAGGAGCAAUGCCAUAUCCAAAGGAGCAAUGCCAUAUCCAAAGGAGCAAUGCCAUAUCCAAAGGAGCAAUGCCAUCUCCAAAGGAGCAAUGCCAUCUCCAAAGGAGCAAUGCCAUCUCCAAAGGAACAAUGCCAUCUCCAAAGGAGCAAUGCCACCAAGUCAAGAAUCAAGCAGGGCGCUGCAAAAGUCCACGUGUGCGGAUCAUGUGCCCAGGAGGGGGCAGUGUGGUUGCCUUUGGUUAUGGGUGUACGACGGAAAGGUUGCAGGUGUAGGCAAUGUUUGGGGGUCUGAUGGUUGGUCUUGCUUAAGAGGUGUGCUGGGGUUGUGGCUUGUCUGGAUCCAGCGUUGUCUUGUGCUUGGUUGCCAUUGACGGCUCACUUGGGGGAGCACGUGGUUACGUGGAUGGACACGAAAUGAAACUUUGACGUGGAUCCGAAUGUCGAAUUUUGCCCCAUGACUUGUACCAUUUUGUCUUUUUCUAAUCUGCUACUGUCGUACUUGCUGCGUUCUUUGUUCUCCCCCCUCGGUGUGGAGCGAGCCAAUCCCGAAUGUCCAAUUUUGCAAUUUGACUUGACAUUUUGUCUUUUUCUAAACUACCACUGUUGACCUUCAUCUAACCCUAACCUACCACCACUGUGGUACUUGCGUUCUUUGUUCUCCCCUAGGUGUUGGAGCGAGCGAGACAGUCACAUUUUGUGUCUUUUUCUAACCUACCACUGUCGUGCUUGAUGUAAGCCUAACGUACCACUGUGCGUCCUUUGUUCUCUAGGUGUAGGGGCGAGCCGGUCCUUGAGGAAGACAUAAUGAUGCGAGCAGCACCCAACUCAUUGCAUGUUCUGCUUUUUGCAGGCCAAACGCAAAAGGGGGGGUACACGGCCCGAUCCAACCCGGCGACGGUCACCAAGAGUAGCUAGCCGCUGUGACCAAGUGGCGACCGGGAUGCGACACAAUCUGAUCAGAGGUGGACGGACCGCUGUGGCAUCGCUCUGAAGUAGCAGAGUUCUGAGCUGGAGGCGUCAACCUGCGCAGCUUCAACAUGUGAAAUGGAUUUUUUUUUUAGUUAAUUGAUGCCAGCGGUGUCCAAAUGUCUGUUUGAGGGCUGCAUACUGAAGCAAAUUAAGAAUCCUUUGAUACAAAUUCAUUAAAUCAAUCAUGAAAUGUUGCCAUUCAAAUUUUGUGCUACUGCUACAAAGCGGUGUUCAUUCAUGUGGUGUGUUGAUAAAGUUGCCCCGUGGCUGCCAUUUGGACACCAAUGGUGACGUGUGUAGGGCUGCACGUGUAUUGGAAAACUGCCACAUGGUGGUCUAGGUUAUUGACAUGCACUUUCAGAAAACAAACAUUUUUUUUAAUGUGGCAAAUGAAACCUGUUUUCUUGCCUAACUAUUUGUAAUGAGUUUAGAAGAUGACAAAUCAUUGAUGCAAGUUAAAAUUAACUACUCGAACUGAUCUCAUUGUGAUCAAAUAGUUCCCCUCCAUCCCAGAAUUUUGCACAACUUUGCUCAAUGCAACGGUCUGGCCCAAUAUGCCAUAUCACUGAUUUUCCAACAUGUCGUGCAGCCCUGAUUGAGUGCCAAACGCGCGGCGACGGCAAGCGACCGCGCAAGCGACCGCGCAAGCGACCGCGCAAGC
Molecule: long non-coding RNA, 2754 nt
Organism: Syngnathus typhle (broad-nosed pipefish)
Lineage: Eukaryota; Metazoa; Chordata; Actinopteri; Syngnathiformes; Syngnathidae
Exons: 6
Source: RefSeq, a predicted model, not a curated record